GAUGAACGCUGGCGGCGUGCCUAAUACAUGCAAGUCGAGCGAACAGACGAGGAGCUUGCUCCUCUGACGUUAGCGGAGGGCGGGUGAGUAACACGUGGAUAACCCACCUAUAAGACUGGGAUAAUUUCGGGAAACCGGAGCUAAUCCCAGAUAAUAUAUUGAACCGCAUGGUGCAAUAGUGAAAGACGGCUUUGCUGUCACUUAUAGAUGGAUCCGCGCCGCAUUAGAUAGUUGGUAAGGUAACGGCCUACCAAGGCAACGAUGCGUAGCCGACUUGAGAGGGUGGUAGGCGACACGGGAGCUGAGACACGGUCCAGGGUCCUGAGGGAGGGACCAGUCGGGUAUCGGCCGCAAUGGGCGGAAGCCUGACGGAGCAACGCCGCGUGAGUGAUGGAAGUCUUCGGAUCGGGAAACUCUGUUAUUAGGGGAGAACAAAUGUGUAAGUAACUAUGCACGUCUUGACGGUAACUAAUCAGAAAGCCCCGGCUAACUACGUG
Molecule: ribosomal RNA, 497 nt
Filed under: uncultured bacterium
Lineage: Bacteria
Description: partial 16S ribosomal RNA
Rfam family: Bacterial small subunit ribosomal RNA
Source: RNAcentral